This 441-nucleotide ribosomal RNA is filed under the name uncultured bacterium. RNAcentral describes it as "partial 16S ribosomal RNA". It matches the Rfam family "Bacterial small subunit ribosomal RNA", at positions 28 to 507 of the family's 1533-position model. The record is from RNAcentral.
GAUGAACGCUGGCGGCGUGCCUAAUACAUGCAAGUCGAACGGGGAGUCGCAAUACUCUUAGUGGCGAACGGGUGAGUAACGCGUUGGUACCUGCCCCGAAGCGGGGGAUAACGGACCGAAAGGUCCGCUAAUACCCCAUGUGCUCGGUAACGAGUAAAGGUGAAAACCACUUUGGGAGGGGCCUGCGUCCCAUCAGCUAGUUGGUAAGGUAACGGCUUACCAAGGCGAUGACGGGUAGGGGACCUGAGAGGGUGGCCCCCCACAAUGGAACUGAAACACGGUCCAUACACCUACGGGUGGCAGCAGUAGGGAAUAUUGGUAAUGGGCGCAAGCCUGAACCAGCAACGCCGCGUGUGCGAUGACGGCCUUCGGGUUGUAAAGCACUUUUGACGGGGACGAGGAAGGACGGUACCGGUCGAAUCAGCCUCGGCUAACUACGUG